UCGGAGAUGCAUAUAAUUACCAGCAACUGGCGCUGGGUAGGCAAAGCCCGGAGAAACUGCUGAGAUGAGAUCUGUCCUGUGAACUCCGGGAAACUCUGCUUGAGUUUCCUUCCAAGAUGGCAGCUGGCUUCCACCAGACUGGGCAACAUGAAAGACCUUUAUGACCGUGCCUUGGACACUCAUUUCCUCCUAUCGCACUGGCUGCCCCAACCAGCCCUCUUCACUGUGGAGGGGGACAAUACAGCCUGUAAAUGCCUGAAGGCAGGAAUCAUUUGGAGACCAUCUUGGAGGUUGGUGACCAUGGCAACCAUCACUUCAGCACAAAGAGAGAUUCAGAGACAGGGUUUGGACCCAGCCUGAAGACCUAGGGUUGCUUCACCAGGACACCCAGGAGACUGAUGUGGUGACACUUGGAGUUUGAGGAAUCCACACAGAAGUCCUAUUGACCAGAGGGGUUCAGUCCAUGGCCCUUCUAAAGAAGCCCAUGGGAAAGAAUUGAGCCGGGGGUGUAUACAGGCAUGCCCACUCUAGCCGGCUGGUCUGGGCACAGCCCAAUUCUCCACUGGAGAAGCAUCCUGGGCAUUUCCCCGAGAAGACUCCACACACAGACUUCAUGCUGGUCUAGCUUUGCUCUCCCAACACACAGACUAGGAAGAGACAGAACUGGCUACAGACACUGGGUCCUGAAGCCUGGACUGGCUUAGAAGGAUGUUUGGAGACAGAAGGACCUGGAGGGAAGGGUCAAAGGUACUUGCUUUGUGUUGGGCCUAUUUGGGAGCUGUGUAACUCUGGGCAAGUGGCUCAGUCUCUCUGGGCCUGAGUUUCCACAUACACAGAACCAUAGACUGAAUUUGCCCUUUGGUUCUCCAUUGGUCCUGGGGAGUUUGGGCUGGUCAGGGGAAGCCAGAGACCGCAUGGGUGUGCAUGAAGUGGGGCUAUGCCAUCAGACAAGCUCUCUGUUGUGCGGCUACAUGCUGAGUACUCCUGUUUCAUCAGCAGGAGGGAAUGUCGAGGCUGGGAGUGUGGCUCAGCUGGUAGAACGGUAGGCAUAGACAGAGCCUUGAGUUUGCUUCUCCAGGAUUGCACAAACCAGUUGUGGCACACAGCUGUCAUACACACACACACCCCGUUCGGGGGGCGGGGUGGGUGGAGGCAGGAGAAUCCAGUGAUAGAGUGAGUGUGAAGUCAUCCUGUCUCAAAGAAACGGGAGGGAGACUCUCUGUAGUAAACACAUUGCAAUCUAGAGCUUUCUACCAGUCUUUCCUCUCAAGUUCUUCAUGCCUUAGGAAGUGAAGGACAGAAACACACACACACACACACACGCACACACACACACACACACACGCAGAAAGCUGCAUGGGUUAGCUAUCCUUUCCAAGUGGCUUCUGGUUUCCUGGGCAUUGAAUUUGCUUCUCUAAGGAGGCCUGAGACCCAGGCCAGGUAGAGAAGUCAGC
Non-coding RNA from Myodes glareolus (Bank vole), 1454 nucleotides. The record is from RefSeq and is a predicted model, not a curated record. Lineage: Eukaryota; Metazoa; Chordata; Mammalia; Rodentia; Cricetidae.